GAUGAACGCUGGCGGCGUGCCUAAUACAUGCAAGUCGAGCGAACAGACGAGGAGCUUGCUCCUCUGACGUUAGCGGCGGACGGGUGAGUAACACGUGGAUAACCUACCUAUAAGACUGGGAUAACUUCGGGAAACCGGAGCUAAUACCGGAUAAUCUAUUGAACCGCAUGGUUCAAUAGUGAAAGACGGUUUUGCUGUCACUUAUAGAUGGAUCCGCGCCGCAUUAGCUAGUUGGUAAGGUAACGGCUUACCAAGGCAACGAUGCGUAGCCGACCUGAGAGGGUGAUCGGCCACACUGGAACUGAGACACGGUCCAGACUCCUACGGGAGGCAGCAGUAGGGAAUCUUCCGCAAUGGGCGAAAGCCUGACGGAGCAACGCCGCGUGAGUGAUGAAGGUCUUCGGAUCGUAAAACUCUGUUAUUAGGGAAGAACAAAUGUGUAAGUACCUAUGCACGUCUUGACGGUACCUAAUCAGAAAGCCACGGCUAACUACGUG
Molecule: ribosomal RNA, 497 nt
Filed under: uncultured bacterium
Lineage: Bacteria
Description: partial 16S ribosomal RNA
Rfam family: Bacterial small subunit ribosomal RNA
Source: RNAcentral